ACGCUAGCGGGAUGCCUUACACAUGCAAGUCGAACGGCAGCACGGACUUCGGUCUGGUGGCGAGUGGCGAACGGGUGAGUAAUGUAUCGGAACGUGCCCAGUAGCGGGGGAUAACUACGCGAAAGCGUAGCUAAUACCGCAUACGCCCUUCGGGGGAAAGCAGGGGAUCGUAAGACCUUGCACUAUUGGAGCGGCCGAUAUCGGAUUAGCUAGUUGGUGAGGUAAUGGCUCACCAAGGCCGCGAUCCGUAGCUGGUUUGAGAGGACGACCAGCCACACUGGGACUGAGACACGGCCCAGACUCCUACGGGAGGCAGCAGUGGGGAAUUUUGGACAAUGGGGGAAACCCUGAUCCAGCCCAUCCCGCGUGUGCGAUGAAGGCCUUCGGGUUGUAAAGCACUUUUGGCAGGAAAGAAACGGCGCGUGCUAAUACCAUGCGCAACUGACGGUACCUGCAGAAUAAGCACCGGCUAACUACGUGCCAGCAGCCGCGGUAAUACGUAGGGUGCAAGCGUUAAUCGGAAUUACUGGGCGUAAAGCGUGCGCAGGCGGUUCGGAAAGAAAGAUGUGAAAUCCCAGGGCUCAACCUUGGAACUGCAUUUUUAACUACCGGACUAGAGUAUGUCAGAGGGAGGUGGAAUUCCACGUGUAGCAGUGAAAUGCGUAGAUAUGUGGAGGAACACCGAUGGCGAAGGCAGCCUCCUGGGAUAAUACUGACGCUCAUGCACGAAAGCGUGGGGAGCAAAC
RNAcentral lists this ribosomal RNA (746 nucleotides) under uncultured bacterium. RNAcentral describes it as "bacterial SSU rRNA". It matches the Rfam family "Bacterial small subunit ribosomal RNA", at positions 33 to 773 of the family's 1533-position model. The record is from RNAcentral.